CGGAGAGUAUGAUACCGGCUCAGAGCGAACGCUGGCGGCGUGGAUAAGGCAUGCAAGUCGAACGGGCACGCCCGGCUUUGCCGGAAACGGCCAGUGGCGAAAGGGUGAGUAACACGUGAGUAACCUACCCCCAGGCUGGGGAUAACACCUGGAAACGGGUGCUAAUACCGAAUGUGGUUCUCCGCUCGCAUGGGUGGGGAACUAAAGCGUUCAGCGCCUGGGGAUGGGCUCGCGGCCUAUCAGCUAGUUGGUGGGGUAACGGCCCACCAAGGCGACGACGGGUAGCUGGCCUGAGAGGGUGGUCGGCCACACUGGGACUGAGACACUGCCCAGACUCCUACGGGUGGCAGCAGUCGAGAAUAUUUGGCAAUGGGCGAAAGCCUGACCAUGCGACGCCGCGUGGGGGAUGAAGGCCUUCGGGUUGUAAACCCCUGUGGUCGGGGAAGAAACGCACCGACUGCGGCGGUGCCUGACGGUACCCGACUAGAAAGCGCCACGGCUAACUACGUGCCAGCAGCCGCGGUAAGACGUAGGUGCGCAAGCGUUGCUCGGAUUCACUGGGCGUAAAGGGCGUGUAGGCGGCCUAGUCAAGUCGCGUGUGAAAUCCCUACGGCUCAACCGAGGGGCGGCACUGCGAUACUGCUAGGCUAGAGUGCGGUAGAGGGAAGCGGAAUUCCGGGUGUAGCGGUGAAAUGCGUAGAUAUCCGGAGGAACACCGGUGGCGAAGGCAGCUUCCUGGGCCUGUCACUGACGCUGAAGUGCACGAAAGCUAGGGGAGCAAACAGGAUUAGAUACCCUGGUAGUCCUAGCCCUAAACGAUGAGUGCUAGGUGUGGGGGACGUUCGAUCUCCCGUGCCGCCGCUAACGCAUUAAGCACUCCGCCUGGGGACUACGGCCGCAAGGCUAAAACUCAAGGUAAUUGACGGGGGCCCGCACAAGCGGUGGAGCAUGUCGUUUAAUUCGAAGCAACGCCAAGAACCUUACCUGGGCUUGACAUGCUCCGGACAGCCCUGGAAACAGGGUCUUCCCUUCGGGGACCGGAGCACAGGUGCUGCAUGGCUGUCGUCAGCUCGUGUCGUGAGAUGUUGGGUUAAGUCCCGCAACGAGCGCAACCCCUGCCCCUAGUUGCCAGCGGGUCAUGCCGGGGACUCUAGGGGGACUGCCGGUGAUAAACCGGAGGAAGGUGGGGAUGACGUCAAGUCCGCAUGGCCCUUAUGCCCAGGGCUACACACGUGCUACAAUGGCCGGUACAGAGGGCUGCCAAGCCGCGAGGCGGAGCCAAUCCCAAAAAGCCGGCCUCAGUUCGGAUUGCAGUCUGCAACUCGACUCCAUGAAGCCGGAAUCGCUAGUAAUCGCGAAUCAGCACGUCGCGGUGAAUACGUUCCCGGGCCUUGUACACACCGCCCGUCAAGCGCCGAAAGCCGGGGCGUCCGAAGUCGGUGAGCCAACCCGCAAGGGAGGCAGCCGCCGAAGGUACGAACCUGGUGAUUGGUGCUAAGUCGUAACAAGGUAGCCGUACCGGAAGGUGCGGCUGGAUCACCUCCUUU
RNAcentral lists this ribosomal RNA (1547 nucleotides) under Candidatus Poribacteria bacterium. RNAcentral's name for it is "bacterial SSU rRNA". It matches the Rfam family "Bacterial small subunit ribosomal RNA". Lineage: Bacteria; Candidatus Poribacteria. The record is from RNAcentral.